This 465-nucleotide ribosomal RNA is filed under the name uncultured bacterium. RNAcentral's name for it is "bacterial SSU rRNA". It matches the Rfam family "Bacterial small subunit ribosomal RNA", at positions 338 to 795 of the family's 1533-position model. The record is from RNAcentral.
CCUACGGGACGCACCAGUGGGGAAUAUUGCACAAUGGGCGCAAGCCUGAUGCAGCCAUGCCGCGCGUAUGAAGAAGGCCUUCGGGUUGUAAAGCACUUCCAGCGGGGAGGAAGGUGUUGUGGUUAAUAACCACAACAAUUGACGUUACCCGCAGAAGAAGCACCGGCUAACUCCGUGCCAGCAGCCGCGGUAAUACGGAGGGUGCAAGCGUUAAUCGGAAUUACUGGGCGUAAAGCGCACGCAGGCGGUCUGUCAAGUCGGAUGUGAAAUCCCCGGGCUCAACCUGGGAACUGCAUUCGAAGCUGGCAGGCUAGAGUCUUGUAGAGGGGGGUAGAAUUCCAGGUGUAGCGGUGAAAUGCGUCGAGAUCUGGAGGAAUACCGGUGGCGAAGGCGGCCCCCUGGACAAAGACUGACGCUCAGGUGCGAAAGCGUGGGGAGCAAACAGGAUUAGAUACCCUCGUAGUC